GUAAGUAUUAUGCCAUAGGUCCAAUCAACUUUGGACAUAAAUACUUUUGAUAUAUAAUUAAUGCAAUUUAAUGGCAGAUCUAUUAUUUAAUUAAUAGACAAUUAAAUAAAUAAUAGAGUCCGUAGAUUCAAAUCUUCGUAAUUUGUUAAUCACAAGGAGUUGUGAUUGUGAGAUACAAAUUACAUAUGAUUGAAUCUUAAAUCGUCC
This 207-nucleotide long non-coding RNA is filed under the name Olea europaea (common olive). RNAcentral describes it as "long non-coding RNA (OEUR_LNC012130)". The record is from RNAcentral. Lineage: Eukaryota; Viridiplantae; Streptophyta; Magnoliopsida; Lamiales; Oleaceae.